RNAcentral lists this ribosomal RNA (468 nucleotides) under uncultured bacterium. RNAcentral's name for it is "partial 16S ribosomal RNA". It matches the Rfam family "Bacterial small subunit ribosomal RNA", at positions 28 to 507 of the family's 1533-position model. The record is from RNAcentral.
GAUGAACGCUGGCGGCGUGCCUAACACAUGCAAGUCUAACGGAAAGGCCCUGCGCUUGUUGGGUGCUCGUGUGGCGAACGGGUGAGUAACACGUGUGUAUCCCGUCCUUGACUGUGGGAUAUCUUCACGAAACUGGGGCUAUUACCGGAUAGGAGCUCCUGCUGCAUGGGGGGGGAUGGAGAGUUUCGGCGGUUGGGGAUGGACUCGCGGCUUAUCAGCUUGUUGGUGGGGUAGUGGCUUACCAAGGCUUUGACGGGUAGCCGGCCUGAGAGGGUGACCGGCCACAUUGGGACUGAGAUACGGCCCAGACUCCUACGGGAGGCAGCAGUGGGGAAUAUUGCACAAUGGGCGGAAGCCUGAUGCAGCAACGCCGCGUGCGGGAUGACGGCCUUCGGGUUGUAAACCGCUUUCGCCUGUGACGAAGCGUGAGUGACGGUAAUGGGUAAAGAAGCACCGGCUAACUACGUG